RNAcentral lists this ribosomal RNA (758 nucleotides) under Neisseria subflava. RNAcentral's name for it is "bacterial SSU rRNA". It matches the Rfam family "Bacterial small subunit ribosomal RNA", at positions 36 to 776 of the family's 1533-position model. Lineage: Bacteria; Pseudomonadati; Pseudomonadota; Betaproteobacteria; Neisseriales; Neisseriaceae. The record is from RNAcentral.
CUGGCAGACUGCUUCAGUAAUUAUUCAUUCUAUUUCGAGGGCAGCCGAAGGGAGGCUGGCUACAUUUCAAGAGAAAGGCGACGAGUGAGUUAUUUCUUGUGAUACUGCCUCGUGGAGGAGGGAUACUACUGGUAACGGUAGCUUAUAGCGCAUGCCUCGACAGAGCAAAGUGGCGGAUCCUUCGGCCUCACGCCAUCGGAUCUGCCACCUGCGGAUUAGCUAGUAGGUGAGGGAAUGGCUUACCUAGGCGACGAUCCCUAGCUGGUCUGAGAGGAUGUCCAGCCACACUGGAACUGAACACCGUCCAGACUAUACUGGAACCAGCAGUGGGGAUAUGCACUAUAGAAUAAGCGUGAUGCAUCCCUACCCCCCUGUGUAUAAGGACAUAGGCUUGUAAUUCUCAAUCACUUUGAACGAGGAGGAAGGCAUCAUACUUUAUGGGUGUGGUGAUUGACGUUACUCGCAGAAGAAGCACCGGCUAUCUCCGUACCAGCAGUCGCGGUAAUACGGAGGGUGCAAGCGUUAAUCGGAAUUACUGGGCGUAAAGCGCACGCAGGCGGUUUGUUAAGUCAGAUGUGAAAUCCCCGCGCUUAACGUGGGAACUGCAUUUGAAACUGGCAAGCUAGAGUCUUGUAGAGGGGGGUAGAAUUCCAGGUGUAGCGGUGAAAUGCGUAGAGAUCUGGAGGAAUACCGGUGGCGAAGGCGGCCCCCUGGACAAAGACUGACGCUCAGGUGCGAAAGCGUGGGGAGCAAACAGG